ACUCCUACGGGAGGCAGCAGCUAAGAAUCUUCCGCAAUGGGGGAAACCCUGACGGAGCGACGCCGCGUGGACGAUGAAGGCCGUAAGGUUGUAAAGUCCUUUUGCAGGUGAAGAAUAAGCCGGGGAGUGGAAUGCCCUGGUGAUGACGUUAGCCUGCGAAUAAGCCCCGGCCAAUUACGUGCCAGCAGCCGCGGUAAUACGUAUGGGGCGAGCGUUGUUCGGAGUUAUUGGGCGUAAAGGGCGUGUAGGCGGCUCGAGAAGUCUGGUGUGAAAUCGCAGGGCUCAACCCUGCGGGUGCGCUGGAAACUGACGGGCUUGAGUCCCAGGGGGGAAGCUGGAAUUCCUGGUGUAGGAGUGAAAUCUGUAGAGAUCAGGAAGAACACCGGUGGCGAAGGCGAGCUUCUAUUCGAGGACUGACGCUGAGGCGCGAAAGCGUGGGGAGCAAACAGGAUUAGAUACCCUGGUAGUCCACGCUGUAAACGAUGUGCACUAGGCGUGGGGCACGUCGGUGCUCUGUGCCGAAGUCAACGCGAUAAGUGCACCGCCUGGGGAGUAUGCACGCAAGGGUGAAACUCAAAGGAAUUGACGG
Molecule: ribosomal RNA, 589 nt
Filed under: uncultured bacterium
Lineage: Bacteria
Description: bacterial SSU rRNA
Rfam family: Bacterial small subunit ribosomal RNA
Source: RNAcentral